Molecule: ribosomal RNA, 442 nt
Filed under: uncultured bacterium
Lineage: Bacteria
Description: partial 16S ribosomal RNA
Rfam family: Bacterial small subunit ribosomal RNA
Source: RNAcentral
CCUACGGGUGGCAGCAGUGGGGAAUAUUGGGCAAUGGGCGCAAGCCUGACCCAGCAACGCCGCGUGAAGGAAGAAGGCCCUCGGGUUGUAAACUUCUUUUAACAGGGACGAAGAAAGUGACGGUACCUGUUGAAUCAGCCACGGCUAACUACGUGCCAGCAGCCGCGGUAAUACGGAGGAUGCGAGCGUUCUCCGGAUUUAUUGGGUUUAAAGGGUGCGUAGGCGGGCUGUUAAGUCAGCGGUAAAAGCCAGGGGCUCAACCCCGGCGAGCCGUUGAAACUGGCUGUCUUGAGAUGUCGAGAGGUAUGCGGAAUGCGCAGUGUAGCGGUGAAAUGCUUAGAUAUUGCGCAGAACUCCGAUUGCGAAGGCAGCAUACCGGCGGCGAUCUGACGCUGAGGCACGAAAGCGUGGGUAUCGAACAGGAUUAGAUACCCUUGUAGUC